This 335-nucleotide ribosomal RNA is filed under the name Eutreptiella gymnastica. RNAcentral's name for it is "partial Bacterial small subunit ribosomal RNA". It matches the Rfam family "Bacterial small subunit ribosomal RNA", at positions 499 to 833 of the family's 1533-position model. The record is from RNAcentral. Lineage: Eukaryota; Euglenozoa; Euglenophyceae; Eutreptiales; Eutreptiaceae.
AACUCCGUGCCAGCAGCCGCGGUAAUACGGGGGAUGCAAGCGUUAUCCGAAAUCAUUGGGCGUAAAGCGCCUGUAGGUUGUUUAAUAAGUCCGUUGUUAAAGACUAGGGCUUAACCCUAGAAAAGCGAUGGAAACUACUAGACUUGAGUAUGGCAGGGGUAGAGGGAAUUUCUAGUGUAGCGGUGAAAUGCGUAGAUAUUAGAAAGAACACCGGUGGCGAAAGCGCUCUACUGGACCAUUACUGACACUCAGAGGCGAAAGCUAGGGUAGCAAAAGGGAUUAGAUACCCCUGUAGUCCUAGCCGUAAACGAUGGAUACUAGAUGUUGUAUAUAUU